AUUGAACGCUGGCGGCAUGCCUUACACAUGCAAGUCGAACGGCAGCACGGGGGCAACCCUGGUGGCGAGUGGCGAACGGGUGAGUAAUACAUCGGAACGUGCCUUGUAGUGGGGGAUAGCUCGGCGAAAGCCGGAUUAAUACCGCAUACGACCUACGGGUGAAAGCGGGGGAUCGCAAGACCUCGCGCUAUAGGAGCGGCCGAUGUCAGAUUAGGGUUGUUGGUGGGGUAAAGGCCCACCAAGCCGACGAUCUGUAGCUGGUCUGAGAGGACGACCAGCCACACUGGGACUGAGACACGGCCCAGACUCCUACGGGAGGCAGCAGUGGGGAAUUUUGGACAAUGGGCGCAAGCCUGAUCCAGCCAUGCCGCGUGCGGGAAGAA
This 383-nucleotide ribosomal RNA is filed under the name uncultured bacterium. RNAcentral's name for it is "bacterial SSU rRNA". It matches the Rfam family "Bacterial small subunit ribosomal RNA", at positions 29 to 412 of the family's 1533-position model. The record is from RNAcentral.